GUCUACGGCCAUACCACCCUGAACGUGCUCGAUCUUGUCUGAUCUCAGAAGCUAAGCAGGGUCGGGCCUGGUUAGUACUUGGAUGGGAGAACAAUUAAAGUCUGAUCUCCCUUGGCC
Molecule: ribosomal RNA, 117 nt
Organism: Ochotona princeps (American pika)
Lineage: Eukaryota; Metazoa; Chordata; Mammalia; Lagomorpha; Ochotonidae
Source: Ensembl